RNAcentral lists this ribosomal RNA (460 nucleotides) under uncultured bacterium. RNAcentral describes it as "partial 16S ribosomal RNA". It matches the Rfam family "Bacterial small subunit ribosomal RNA", at positions 338 to 795 of the family's 1533-position model. The record is from RNAcentral.
CCUACGGGAGGCAGCAGUGAGGAAUAUUGGUCAAUGGACGAGAGUCUGAACCAGCCAAGUAGCGUGAAGGAUGACUGCCCUAUGGGUUGUAAACUUCUUUUAUAUGGGAAUAAAAUGUUCCACGUGUGGGAUUUUGUAUGUACCAUAUGAAUAAGGAUCGGCUAACUCCGUGCCAGCAGCAGCGGUAAUACGGAGGAUCCGAGCGUUAUCCGGAUUUAUUGGGUUUAAAGGGAGCGUAGGUGGAUUGUUAAGUCAGUUGUGAAAGUUUGCGGCUCAACCGUAAAAUUGCAGUUGAAACUGGCAGUCUUGAGUACAGUAGAGGUGGGCGGAAGGCGUGGUGUAGCGGUGAAAUGCUUAGAUAUCACGAAGAACUCCGAUUGCGAAGGCAGUUCACUGGACUGCAACUGACACUGAGGCUCGAAAGUGUGGGUAUCAAACAGGAUUAGAUACCCCAGUAGUC